RNAcentral lists this long non-coding RNA (3230 nucleotides) under Sus scrofa (pig). Its description in RNAcentral is "lncRNA (ENSSSCG00025030705.1)". The record is from RNAcentral. Lineage: Eukaryota; Metazoa; Chordata; Mammalia; Artiodactyla; Suidae.
UGAGGAGCUGCCCCAAGUACUGGGCAUAAAGCCUCUAUGCCCUGGCAGCACAAAGCCACAGUCCUUCCCUCAAAACCCUCGGAGCCAGAUAUGCUUCAGAACACAGACAUCUUCAAAAUUUAGAAAGGAAAUAGUGCAAAUACUGUAUUGUCAGUAUGUCAACCCCUCCUCCCCUUCCAGAAAAGUCUGGGGCAAUACCAUGCAACUAAACACACAUUCUGCAGUGCAAUUCAUGAAUAUUCACAUGAAGGAAGAUCAAAGAGACUUUAAGUAGCCUUGUGUCAGUUCGUGGACGUUUAGCUCCUUGAUCAGUGCAAAAGCUGGUUUUGAAAGAUUUACGAUGAUAGGUUGCAGAUGAAGUAGUCUGGACUCCCAUAUACUCCCAUUUUUAAUUAGUAAAUUAAUAUUCUGAGUUUAUAAAUUUCUUAUAGCUGUGAUUAAUAUGGACACAUUUUUCAGAGUCAGAUUCUCUUCUAUGCCUACCAUUAAGUAAAUUAAUAAAAAUGAAAUAGCUAGAAUCAGCAAAGCCAAGCAAAAUGCUGCCAGGGUGCCCCUCUCCAAUGAGUGGCCAUCAGGAAAGAAGUGAAUGACAACAGCCUGCCAGAGCUCUCUCAGCAGCUUACCACCAGGCCACACUCACUUUUGGAUGAUAUUCCCUCAUCUAAAACUUUCUCUUUGACCUCUUUCGGAAAAACCUCCUAAGACACCUCAAUGGUCAAGUAAACAUUCAUCUAAAGGAACCAUUUUUUCAAUUCAAUACAUUUAAUAAGCAUAUAUAUCAAGACUGUGUUAUUUUAACCUACACAAUGUUGAUGUCCAAGUUUUGACCAAGUAUGCUAACAAAGAGUCAGUCUCAAUUUUUCUGAAACUUGCAAAUCUAAAACUGGGAGAAGUUUCUGCCCUUUUGUUUGGGGAAGCUAUGGGGACCCUCUAUGGAGGACCCUUUGGUUAAGAAAGUAAAGCCAGCUCAGAAAGGGGAAGUUCAGAAAUACAGGGAUCCCUGUUGCUCUGCUUUCCUCUGUGCAGAAUUGCAUGUCUGCAGAUUUUUAUCAGGCUGGCUAUGGAGAAAAGUUGUUUCCCUCUGUUGAGGCCAUAGGAAAAAACACAACCCAGAAGAGGUGAGCAUGGUCAAGGCAGUCCUGUUGGAAGGGUGGUCUGGCCACAGCGGAGGACAGGACUGGCCAAGAGAAGCCCCCAAGGAGGGGUAUGGUCCAAGAAGUCAGGCAGCAAUGGUGUCCAUUUAAGGUUGUGUUUUGGAGGUUGUUUUUGUUUUUAAUUCGGUCUUUUCAGCUUAGUGCUUCUUCUUUUUUUUUUUUUUAAGUUUUGCUAAACGUUUUGGAGGAGAGCAGUGAAUCUGCAAAGAGAAUAAACCCAACCAGAAAAGAAAGUGCGGAGACUGAUCAUGAGGUGAGAGAGGGUCGGCUCACUGCGGUACAGGCUGUCCUGUUUAUUGACUGGAGCAGGCAGCCAGUGGUUUGCAAGGAUACUAAAGAGAAGGAUGGAAUCCUAUUUUUAAAAAAUCAGUGGAUAAUGACUUGUCACUUACAAUAAUGCAGGUGAUAGCACAUUAACUGAAAGAGUAGUGAGGCUCAGAGAACAAGGGGUUUAACUUCUGCCUGGGAGACACAGACAAGGGCAGCGUGACACCCACAGGGAGGGUCAGACUUCAUGACCCUCCAGGAUUGAUUUCAAAUCUUGCCUUCACCACCUAGGGGAUCUGUAAACCCAGGACAGUCCUUGAAAGCUCUCUGAGCCUGUUUCCCAUCUAAGAUACAAAUUUACUUACUUCUCCUUCCUGGGGCUUCAUAGGGCUAAGAUUGCUUAUAUAAGGUUUUUAUGAAGUACCCAAUAAAUUAUUACUACUUAACAUAAUACAAUAUAUUAAAAGUACAUGCUAAUAUAAUAUAUAAUACGCUAACAAUUCGUUAUUGGUAAAUCAUUACUAUUAUCAUUUACACACUAAGUAUAGUUUAUAGGCAAACUAUAAAUUUCAAAUCUUUCCUUAGUAAGGGAAGAUUUGAAAUUGCUAUUUCCUUAGAAUUCAUUCCAUAUAAAUCUAUUCUUGAAUGAUAUCAUUGAUGCUUUAGCAAAAUAUUUAAUUUUCCUCAAACAAUGUAUUAUUGCCGUGAAUGUUUAUAAACUCUUUGUAAGUAGCAUUUUACUGUAUCUAUUCUUCUGCCCCUUGCAGGUUUAUGAGUAUGGAGUUGGUAUUUAAAAAUAAUUCUGGGUUGUCCUCAUGAAGCCUUAGGAAAAAGACCAUUUCAGAAACCCAUCAGAGUACCAAAAAUGUGCAAAUCUGAAGAGCCAAGUGUUGGUAGUGUGGACCUGUGUGCAGACUCCCUAAGUAUAGGCUUUGGCAGUGAAAUAAGGAACAAUCACAUUGGAAAGCUAUUCAGCCUUCCCCCCACUCAAAAUACAUAUCUCUGGGAUCACUCAUUCAGGCAGCAAGGAGACAUGUAUGAGGAUCCUUUCUCAAAUAGAAAAACAGCAAUGACAACAACAACAACAACCUGAAAAUAACCAAUUAUCCAUUGACAGAAGAAUGAGUAAACUGAGUUGUAGAUAAACAACAGAAUAUUAUUUAGAAACCAAAAUGAAUAAACCACAGGCAAAGUAAGUGGCAAAAGAAUGUGUACAGUAAAAUGCUACUUAUAAAGAGUUUAUAAACAUUCAAGGCAAUAAUACAUUGUUUAAGGAAAAGUAAAUAUUUUGCUAAAGCAUGAAGACAUAUGGGAUCAUUGUAAACUACCCAAGUCAGGAUAGUGGUCACUACUGGAUUGGUGAGAGCUACACAGGGGGGUUCAAGUGUAUCUAAUAAUAGCCUCUUUCUGUGAAAGGAAAAACACCCUGUAAACCAGCUAUAAUGGAAAAAAUUAAAAUCAUUAUAAAUAAAUAAAUAAAUAAAAGAAAAACAAACUGAGACAAAUGCAGCAAAGAGAAAUUAAGAUUUGACAAGGCAGACAAAAAAAGUUCUCAUUGUGGUUCAGCGAAAACAAAUCCGACUAGGAACCAUGAGGUUGCAGGUUCUAUCCCUGGCCUUGCUCAGUGGGUUAAGGAUCCAGCAUUGCCACAAGCUGUGGUGUAGGUCGCAGAUGCGGCUCAGAUCUGGCAUUGCUGUGGCAGUGGUGUAGGCCAGCAGCUACAGUUCCAAUUAGACCCCUAGCCCCCUAGCCUGGGAACAUCUAUAUGCUGCAGGUGUGGCCCUAAAAAGAAAAAAAAAAAAAAAAAAA